Molecule: long non-coding RNA, 1090 nt
Organism: Papaver somniferum (opium poppy)
Lineage: Eukaryota; Viridiplantae; Streptophyta; Magnoliopsida; Ranunculales; Papaveraceae
Exons: 9
Source: RefSeq, a predicted model, not a curated record
UUUGGUGAUUUUUGUCCUGUGUAGGACUGAGUAUGAUAGAGGUGUGAAUAAUUUCUCACAUGAAGGGAGAUUGUUUUAGGUUGGGUAUGCGAUUAAAGCUAUUAAGCUUGGGUUAACUGCAAUUGGGUUAGAGACUAAAGAAGGAGUAAUGCUUGUUGUUGAGAAGCAUAUCACUUCGCCAAUUAUGUUGGAGCCUAGUAGAGUGCAGAAAAUUAUGGAAUUCGAUAAGCAUAAAGAAAAAAUAUACAUGAGUAUGGUCACAAUCAGUGAUAUUCCAAAUGGCUAUGAGUGGACUAAUUGCUGAUUCUCAUACAUUUAUUGAACAUGCACGAGUGGAAACUCAGAACCACAAGUUCUCAUAUGGCGAUCCCAUGACUGUUGAAUCCACAACACAAGAUUUAUGUGAUCUUGCACUACGAUUUGGUGAAGGCGAAGAAGAGUCCAUGGAUAUGACCCUCCAACAAGGCGAAACAGUUGCUUUUUAAAUCUUGAAGCAAGUGAUAAGAGAAGUUGACUGCUAACAAUCCCAAAGGUCGCUCCAAAAUACCAUUUGUAUUCUCCUAGAUGCAGUUUGUUCCAGUAGAUGCAGCUACGUCUUGAAGACUUAAGAAACAAUUAGUGAACUCGUGAUGAUUCUUGUACACUUGUUGAACAUGCACGAGUCAAAACUCUGGUUUGAAGCUGGAAGAGUACCUGAGCCAAAGAUGGUGUGGAUACAACUACCAACAAAUGGAACGAAACACUUGUUUAAAGCGUGGUGUAUCCAAAAGAUUUAUCAUCUCAUCCGGCAGGUGUCUCUGAUGUUCAAGUGCACCAUUAUGAAGUGUUGGGUUAGUUUAUUUUACUGCAGGUGUAUCAAGUUUGUGGGUUUAGUUCAACACCAGGAAGUUUAUCAUUUUGCUGGUUUGCACUUUUAUUUAAGACACUUUGAACUUAUUGGGGCUAGUUGCUCUUCUCUUUAAACCUUGAACUUAUUAGGAUUUGUAUUGUGAAUUCAGAAUUUGAAUCUAUAUGAUUUUGAAUCUAAGUGUAAUUCAGUUAUAAAUUGUGUAAUGAAUACAUUAACUGAUUAAUGGAAAAGGAAUUUUAA